This 421-nucleotide ribosomal RNA is filed under the name uncultured bacterium. RNAcentral describes it as "bacterial SSU rRNA". It matches the Rfam family "Bacterial small subunit ribosomal RNA", at positions 355 to 776 of the family's 1533-position model. The record is from RNAcentral.
UGGGGAAUCUUGCGCAAUGGCCUAACGGCUGACGCAGCGACGCCGCGUGAGGGAUGACGGCCUUCGGGUUGUAAACCUCUGUUGCCCGGGACGAACAGCCUUAUUCGUAAGGUCUGACGGUACCGGGUGAGGAAGCACCGGCUAACUCCGUGCCAGCAGCCGCGGUAAUACGGAGGGUGCGAGCGUUGUCCGGAAUCACUGGGCGUAAAGGGCGCGUAGGCGGUCGGGUAAGCGUGUGGUGAAAGUCCGGGGCUCAACCCCGGAUCGGCCGUGCGAACUGCUCGACUUGAGCACUGUAGAGGCAGGUGGAAUUCCGGGUGUAGCGGUGGAAUGCGUAGAGAUCCGGAAGAACACCGGUGGCGAAGGCGGCCUGCUGGGCAGUGGCUGACGCUGAGGCGCGACAGCGUGGGGAGCAAACAGG